RNAcentral lists this non-coding RNA (102 nucleotides) under uncultured Chlorophyceae. The record is from RNAcentral. Lineage: Eukaryota; Viridiplantae; Chlorophyta; Chlorophyceae.
CCGGAGAUGUUCCAGGACAUGAGCCCUCUGCACGGUGAUCCUUCGCCGGCACUGCUCGAAUCCGGGAUCGAGCUCCAUGUUGCCGCUAUAGAUAUCAACGAU